Molecule: ribosomal RNA, 459 nt
Filed under: uncultured bacterium
Lineage: Bacteria
Description: partial 16S ribosomal RNA
Rfam family: Bacterial small subunit ribosomal RNA
Source: RNAcentral
CCUACGGGUGGCAGCAGUGAGGAAUAUUGGUCAAUGGGCGCGAGCCUGAACCAGCCAAGUAGCGUGAAGGAUGACUGCCCUACGGGUUGUAAACUUCUUUUAUAAAGGAAUAAAGUGAGGCACGUGUGCCUUUUUGUAUGUACUUUAUGAAUAGGAUUGGGUUACCUCCUGGCAGCAGGCCCGGUAAUAAGGAGGGUCCGAGCGUUAUUCGGAUUUAUUGGGGUUAAAGGGAGCGUAGAUGGGUUGUUAAGUCAGUUGUGAAAGUUUUCGGCUCAACCGUAAAAUUGCAAUUGAUACUGGCAGCCUUGAGUACAGUUGAGGUAGGCGGAAUUCGUGGUGUAGCGGUGAAAUGCUUAGAUAUCACGAAGAACUCCGAUUGCGAAGGCAGCCUACUAAACUGCCACUGACAUUGAUGCUCGAAAGUGUGGGUAUCAAACAGGAUUAGAUACCCCUGUAGUC